Molecule: ribosomal RNA, 437 nt
Filed under: uncultured Oscillospiraceae bacterium
Lineage: Bacteria; Bacillati; Bacillota; Clostridia; Eubacteriales; Oscillospiraceae
Description: partial 16S ribosomal RNA
Rfam family: Bacterial small subunit ribosomal RNA
Source: RNAcentral
ACGGGAGGCAGCAGUGGGGAAUAUUGGGCAAUGGGCGAAAGCCUGACCCAGCAACGCCGCGUGAAGGAAGAAGGCCUUCGGGUUGUAAACUUCUUUUACCAGGGACGAAGGACGUGACGGUACCUGGAGAAAAAGCCACGGCUAACUACGUGCCAGCAGCCGCGGUAAUACGUAGGUGGCAAGCGUUGUCCGGAUUUACUGGGUGUAAAGGGCGUGUAGGCGGAACUGCAAGUCAGAUGUGAAAUCCCGGGGCUCAACCCCGGAACUGCAUUUGAAACUGUAGUCCUUGAGUAUCGGAGAGGCAAGCGGAAUUCCUAGUGUAGCGGUGAAAUGCGUAGAUAUUAGGAGGAACACCAGUGGCGAAGGCGGCUUUCUGGACUGUAACUGACACUGAGGCUCGAAAGCGUGGGGAGCGAACAGGAUUAGAUACCCUGGUA